This 560-nucleotide long non-coding RNA is filed under the name Physcomitrium patens. RNAcentral describes it as "long non-coding RNA (PPAT_LNC014079)". Lineage: Eukaryota; Viridiplantae; Streptophyta; Bryopsida; Funariales; Funariaceae. The record is from RNAcentral.
UGUUGUAUUAUGAAUCAUGUAUAUAAAAUAAAAUUGUCGAUGUCUCACAUCCAAGGCCUUUGAUUGGUUGCUUUUUUUUUGUCUUAGUGUUGAUCUUGGACCUCUUCCCUCUCUUCAUUGUCCCAAUGCAAGUCUAGUUUCUUCAUCCCCUUCUUCCUUGUCCUAGCACAUAGGUCUCAAUUCCCUCUUCCUUGUCCUAGCAUAGAUUCCAAUCAUCUCUUCCUUGUCUUGAUGCUGAUUUGAAUCUCCCUUUCAUCUCUUUCUUGUCUACUCACACUUGUACCAAGAUAAAAAAGAGAUAAAAGAGAAAAUUGGAACUUGUGCCAAGACAAGGAAGAAAGAGAUGAAGGAACUAGGACUUACACCAAGUCAAAAAAGAAAGGGACAAAAUUUGAGAUCCAUACCAAGAAAAAGAAAGGCAAUCAAUUUGUGAGGAAAAAUUUCCCCCUCACCCCAAAUUACAAGAUGGCCUCAAUUGAAAGUUGCUUGUAAUUGGUGGUGAGAACUAGAAGUAGCAAUAAACAAGAACAAAAGAAGGACAACAUCAAACAAGUGAAACA